Molecule: ribosomal RNA, 473 nt
Filed under: uncultured bacterium
Lineage: Bacteria
Description: SSU rRNA
Rfam family: Bacterial small subunit ribosomal RNA
Source: RNAcentral
AGAGCGAACGCUGGCGGCGUGCUUAACACAUGCAAGUCGAGCGGAAAGGCCCUUCGGGGUACUCGAGCGGCGAACGGGUGAGUAACACGUGAGCAACCUGCCCUUAGCUUCGGGAUAGCUCCGGGAAACCGGAAUUAAUACCGGAUAUGACUAUGGCCGACAUCAGCCAUGGUGGAAAGUUUUUCGGCUAGGGAUGGACUCGCGGCCUAUCAGCUAGUUGGCGAGGUAACGGCUCACCAAGGCGACGACGGGUAGCCGGCCUGAGAGGGCGACCGGCCACACUGGGACUGAGACACGGCCCAGACUCCUACGGGAGGCAGCAGUGGGGAAUAUUGCGCAAUGGGCGAAAGCCUGACGCAGCGACGCCGCGUGGGGGAUGAAUGCCUUCGGGUUGUAAACCCUUUCAGCAGGGACGAAGCGAAAGUGACGGUACCUGCAGAAGAAGCGCCGGCUAACUACGUGCCAGCAGCCGC